CCCGCCCGCCACCUGCCACCACCGCCUCCUCAGCUCGAAACGAAGCUCUCUGUCUGCCGAAGACCUGCAGCCGACUUUUGGAGACUGGCACGGAACAUGCACCUCUCAUUUUUGCAUCCUUGAUUUUUUUUCUCAAUUAACUGGAAGAUACAGUUUGGUGAAAUGGGAACUAAUCACAAACUGAUAUGUUGAAACUAAUCAGAAAUCUGGUAAGUUGAAACUUAUUAGAAUUAGAGGUGAAGGGCAAAACUUGUGAAUUCAUCUUGGGUCAUACUGUUGGAGGUGCCCAUUGCACACGCAGCUGGAUAUAGAAGCCUGGAGUCUGGAUCCAAGCAGAUGAAAAUAGAAUUUUGGGAACCCGCAAAGGUGGAGCUACAAGGAGCUACAAGGCUCCUUUCAAAUUAGACAGAGCUGGAGGCUUGAUCGCUCUGGGGUGCUAGGUGUACAUCCUGAGGUAUGAUCAGGAACGUCUGGGGGCCAUUGACGUGCUUUGUGUCCCAGGGACUGAUCAAUGGAACAAGCCUUGUUAAUAAGAUUGGAGCCAAGGGUGGGGGUUGAGAGUGUAUCAGCAGACUUGAUUUCCCUAAAGCCCCAAAUCCGGUAUUCAGCUUGACCCACCCUUUUCUCUGUCAAUAAAAAGUCCAGGAUCUUGCUCUUUAGCAGCGUCCUGCAUCCUCAGCCUGCUCCACAACUCCUGUUUCUUUUCUUUAUCAUUGCGGUGUUGCUGAUG
Molecule: long non-coding RNA, 730 nt
Organism: Talpa occidentalis (Iberian mole)
Lineage: Eukaryota; Metazoa; Chordata; Mammalia; Eulipotyphla; Talpidae
Exons: 3
Source: RefSeq, a predicted model, not a curated record